This 513-nucleotide ribosomal RNA is filed under the name Scinax hayii (Hay's snouted treefrog). RNAcentral's name for it is "partial 12S small subunit ribosomal RNA". It matches the Rfam family "Bacterial small subunit ribosomal RNA", at positions 774 to 1522 of the family's 1533-position model. Lineage: Eukaryota; Metazoa; Chordata; Amphibia; Anura; Hylidae. The record is from RNAcentral.
GGGAUUAGAUACCCCACUAUGCUUAACCGUAAACUUUAACUUACACCCAAAUCGCCCGGGAACUACGAGCAAUGCUUAAAACCCAAAGGACUUGACGGUGCCCCAUUCCACCUAGAGGAGCCUGUCCUAUAAUCGAUAACCCCCGUUUAACCUCACCACUCUUCGCUUGUCAGUCUGUAUACCUCCGUCGUCAGUUUACCACGUGAGCGAUCUCAGUAAGCAAAAAGGCCUUAUUCACCAAAACGUCAGGUCAAGGUGCAGCUAAUAGAGUGGGAAGAGAUGGGCUACACUCUCUAAUAUAGAAAAUACGAAAAACUACCGAUGAAACUCGAGUUAGAAGGCGGAUUUAGCAGUAAAAUGAGACAAAAGCGCUCAUUUAAACACGGCCCUGGGGUGUGUACACACCGCCCGUCACCCUCUUCGAAACCUAAAGAAUAGUAUAUAACACCCUAUCACCCAUAAAGAAGAGGCAAGUCGUAACAUGGUAAGCUUACCGGAAGGUGUGCUUGGAAA